GACAGAGGGUGCAAACGUUGUUCGGAAUUACUGGGCGUAAAGCGCGUGUAGGCGGUUUGGUAAGUCGGGUGUGAAAGCCCUGGGCUCAACCCAGGAAGUGCACUCGAUACUGUCAGGCUAGAGUAUCGGAGAGGUUGGUGGAAUUCUCGGUGUAGAGGUGAAAUUCGUAGAUAUCGAGAGGAACACCGGUGGCGAAGGCGGCCAACUGGACGAAUACUGACGCUGAGACUCGAAAGCGUGGGGAGCAAACAGG
RNAcentral lists this ribosomal RNA (253 nucleotides) under uncultured bacterium. Its description in RNAcentral is "partial 16S ribosomal RNA". It matches the Rfam family "Bacterial small subunit ribosomal RNA", at positions 524 to 776 of the family's 1533-position model. The record is from RNAcentral.